CCGUGAUCGGGCACGCGCCCCCACCCCUCCUCGACGCAGUUGCUAGCAGCCAAAGACGACACGGAGGAUUAAAAAAACAUGGACGCUUCAAAAGAGAAAUCUGGAGCCACAAAGAUUUGUCCACAUGGCAAAACUUCGACGCGGAGCAUCAAAGGCUCGGCAGUGCUUUGACUGAGAGCAGAAGAGGACACUUACACAACAUCCUCCAUAGCAAGGCAAGCCACAAAAAUCAUGGUUACAGCCUGCCAAGUGUCACUUGAGGGUUUCCUCUGUUAUACUUACAGUCCUGCUGGGCUUCUGUGCUGGCAAAGCACUCGCUGAAGAGGCAAUGCAUGGUGUGG
Long non-coding RNA from Perca fluviatilis (European perch), 341 nucleotides. RefSeq lists it as uncharacterized. The record is from RefSeq and is a predicted model, not a curated record. The transcript has 3 exons. NCBI's taxonomy places the organism in Eukaryota, Metazoa, Chordata, Actinopteri, Perciformes, Percidae.